This 433-nucleotide ribosomal RNA is filed under the name uncultured bacterium. RNAcentral's name for it is "partial 16S ribosomal RNA". It matches the Rfam family "Bacterial small subunit ribosomal RNA", at positions 29 to 507 of the family's 1533-position model. The record is from RNAcentral.
AGCGAACGCUGGCGGCAGGCCUAACACAUGCAAGUCGAACGGUUCCUUCGGGAUUAGUGGCGUACGGGUGAGUAACACGUGGGAACGUGCCCGUUGGUUCUGAACCACUCAUUGAAACUUGAGCUAAUACCGGAUGUGCCCUUCGGGGGAAAGAUUUAUAGCCAUUGGAGCGGCCCGCGUCUGAUUAGCUAGUUGGUGAGGUAACGGCCCGCCAAGGCGACGAUGAGUAGCUGGUCUGAGCAGAUGACCAGCCACACUGGGGACGAGACACAGACCAGACUGCUACGGAAGGGAGGAGAGGGGUACAUUGCGGGAGGGGCGAAGGCCUGACGACGCCGCGCCGGGUAAAUGAUGAAGGGGUUAGGAUUGCAAUAUUAUUAGGGCGGAGACGAUAGUGACGGUACCUGCAGAAGAAGCCCCGGCUAACUACGUG